GAUUUCUUCUUGUUUCCUUGUAGUAUCAAUAUUGCCUGAGAAAAGCCAUUUCAAUGUAGAUAACAUCAGAGUGAUUAAAAUAUUGGGUUCUGGCAUCCAUAACUCAUUAGUAAUGCAGGGCAUGGUAUUCAAGAGACUAGUGGAAGGUGAUAUCACCAGUGCUAAAAAUGCUAAAGUAGUUGUUUAUUCAUGUCCUUUGGAUCUCAUGCAGAC
Long non-coding RNA from Exaiptasia diaphana, 213 nucleotides. RefSeq lists it as uncharacterized. The record is from RefSeq and is a predicted model, not a curated record. NCBI's taxonomy places the organism in Eukaryota, Metazoa, Cnidaria, Anthozoa, Actiniaria, Aiptasiidae. The transcript has 2 exons.